RNAcentral lists this ribosomal RNA (497 nucleotides) under uncultured bacterium. RNAcentral describes it as "partial 16S ribosomal RNA". It matches the Rfam family "Bacterial small subunit ribosomal RNA", at positions 28 to 507 of the family's 1533-position model. The record is from RNAcentral.
GACGAACGCUGGCGGCGUGCCUAAUACAUGCAAGUUGAGCGCUGAAGGUUGGUACUUGUACCAACUGGAUGAGCAGCGAACGGGUGAGUAACGCGUGGGGAAUCUGCCUUUGAGCGGGGGACAACAUUUGGAAACGAAUGCUAAUACCGCAUAAAAACUUUAAACACAAGUUUUAAGUUUGAAAGAUGCAAUUGCAUCACUCAAAGAUGAUCCCGCGUUGUAUUAGCUAGUUGGUGAGGUAAAGGCUCACCAAGGCGAUGAUACAUAGCCGACCUGAGAGGGUGAUCGGCCAAAUUGGGACUGAGACACGGCCCAAAAUCCUACGGGAGGCAGCAGUAGGGAAUCUUCGGCCAUGGACGAAAGUCUGAACGAGCAACGCCGCGUGAGUGAAGAAGGGUUUCGGAUCGUAAAACUCUGUUGGUAGAGAAGAAAGUUGGUGAGAGUGGAAAGCUCAUCAAGUGACGGUAACUACACAGAAAGGGACGGCUAACUACGUG